RNAcentral lists this ribosomal RNA (500 nucleotides) under uncultured Glomeromycotina. RNAcentral describes it as "partial small subunit ribosomal RNA". It matches the Rfam family "Eukaryotic small subunit ribosomal RNA", at positions 591 to 1092 of the family's 1831-position model. Lineage: Eukaryota; Fungi; Glomeromycota. The record is from RNAcentral.
CCAAUAGCGUAUAUUAAAGUUGUUGCAGUUAAAAAGCUCGUAGUUGAAUUUCGGGAUCAAUGCGUCGGUCGUGCCAUUGGUACGUACUAACGAUAUUGAUUUCUCCCUUCUGACGAACCGUGAUGUCAUUAAUUUGGUGUUACGGGGAGUUAGGACUGUUACUUUGAAAAAAUUAGAGUGUUUAAAGCAAGCAAUCGCUCGAAUACAUUAGCAUGGAAUAAUGAAAUAGGACGUUCGAACCUAUUUUGUUGGUUUCUAGGAUCGACGUAAUGAUUAAUAGGGAUAGUUGGGGGCAUUAGUAUUCAAUUGUCAGAGGUGAAAUUCUUGGAUUUAUUGAAGACUAACUACUGCGAAAGCAUUUGCCAAGGAUGUUUUCAUUAAUCAAGAACGAAAGUUAGGGGAUCGAAGACGAUCAGAUACCGUCGUAGUCUUAACCAUAAACUAUGCCGACUAGGGAUCGGAUGAUGUUAAUUUUUUAAUGACUCAUUCGGCGCCUUACG